This 1046-nucleotide unclassified non-coding RNA is filed under the name Polistes fuscatus (common paper wasp). RNAcentral describes it as "rWD domain-containing protein 4, transcript variant X3". Lineage: Eukaryota; Metazoa; Arthropoda; Insecta; Hymenoptera; Vespidae. The record is from RNAcentral.
UUAUAAUGUAUAUCUUUUAAAAAUGGCGCCAUCUAUAUAAACUUGAACUUCGUACGAAGUGUAUGUCUAAUCUAACCAUACCCAUGAUCGAAUCUUGAGAUAAAAUUAUACAAUUGUAAAAAAGAAUAACAAAAAUAGUUGCAGAAAGGAAAUGAGUGAUGUCGAAUUACAAGAGGAAGAAAGAGAAGUAUUACUUUCUAUUUAUGAGGGUGAUCCAGCAUUUAAUCAGUUAACACCCACUACCUUUCAGUACAAGUAUGGAGAAGAUAAUGACAUAAAGUCAUUUCUAUUGGAAAUUUCAUGGGGUCCGACAUAUCCGUCUGAAAAGCCAAACAUCAAUAUGAAUAUAUUUUACAAUAAACACAUUGUGCAAGAAGUAAAGGAUGAAAUAGUGAAACAAUUAGAAGCAGAAGCAGAUCAAUGGUUAGGUAGUGCCAUGACGUAUACAUUAUUCCAGUAUGUUCAAGAGCAUUUUACCGAACUGUUAUCUAUGCAACUGGAUUCUAUUACCGAUAUAAAUUUACAAGCCAGUAAACUUAAAAUAUCAAAUGAGAAUCAACAGGCGGAAGAAAUUGUAAAAAGACCAAAGAAAGAACAAUUAAGCAAAGCUCAAAAACGUAGACAAUGGAAUAAAGCAGAUGGAAAAGGAGAAAGACCACGAGGAUGGGAUUGGGUGGACAUAGUAAAACAUUUAUCGCAAACUGGUCCAAAACAAGAACAAGAGUCUUAGUUUACGUUUUCUAAGACUUUAUUGUACAGAUUUACAAAAGGAAACCUGAUGUUGCGUUAAUGCAGCUCUGGUUGCUGCACCGGCUACGCCAACAAUAGAUUUCAUUGCUGUGGAAGCACACAGUACGACCAUUGAAUGAGCUAAGAAAUAAGAAAGAACUUCAAAAUUUAUUACCCAAUGCGACUAAUAAAAAUCGCAUUAACAUAGAAAAACCCGUAGAAGUUACUAAUUUAAAAAGAGAAUCAUCAUCAACGAUACGUUUUCCAUCUCUCUUAACAUUUCCUGGAAUAAAUGAACAAUCAAAUGUUAGAAAAAA